AACGAACGCUGGCGGCAGGCCUAACACAUGCAAGUCGAACGUGAAGCUGGAGCUUGCUCCAGUGGAAAGUGGCAGACGGGUGAGUAACGCGUGGGAAUUUACCCAGUGGUACGGAAUAACUCAGGGAAACUUGUGCUAAUACCGUAUAAGCCCUUCGGGGGAAAGAUUUAUCGGAGUUGGAUGAGCCCGCGUUAGAUUAGUUUGUUGGUAGGGUAAUGGCCUACCAAGACUACGAUCUAUAGCUGGUCUGAGAGGAUGAUCAGCCACACUGGGACUGAGACACGGCCCAGACUCCUACGGGAGGCAGCAGUGGGGAAUAUUGCACAAUGGGCGCAAGCCUGAUGCAGCCAUGCCGCGUGAGUGAAGAAGGCCUUAGGGUUGUAAAACUCUUUCAUCGGUGAAGAUAAUGACGGUAGCCGAAGAAGAAGCCCCGGCUAACUCCGUG
RNAcentral lists this ribosomal RNA (445 nucleotides) under uncultured bacterium. RNAcentral's name for it is "bacterial SSU rRNA". It matches the Rfam family "Bacterial small subunit ribosomal RNA", at positions 29 to 507 of the family's 1533-position model. The record is from RNAcentral.